Molecule: long non-coding RNA, 202 nt
Filed under: Arabidopsis lyrata
Lineage: Eukaryota; Viridiplantae; Streptophyta; Magnoliopsida; Brassicales; Brassicaceae
Description: long non-coding RNA (ALYR_LNC002470)
Source: RNAcentral
CAAUAACAAUGCUAGUUAAGAAGUAGAGGACUGUGUAAAAAAAAAAAAAAGUCAAAAUUUUCUCUCAAAUGGCUCCACGGACAUAGCAUCUUCUCUAGUCAUUUCGAACAUUCGAUUUUGGGUAAGCUUUUAACAUGGAGAGAGUUAUCUUCUCCCCUGAUGUCUUCAUCAUCAAGCUAUACAUGCGACCUUGGCAUUUGAA